This 23729-nucleotide long non-coding RNA is filed under the name Coffea arabica (coffee). RNAcentral describes it as "long non-coding RNA (CARA_LNC003760)". The record is from RNAcentral. Lineage: Eukaryota; Viridiplantae; Streptophyta; Magnoliopsida; Gentianales; Rubiaceae.
UACGGGGGACUAAUGUUCGUGACUCAAUUUUCCCUUUAAUAGAGGGAAUACGGGCGUGCUAAGGUUAGAAAGCCAAACUCGUCCAUAUCCCACAUCCAAGGGGUUACUCCCUAACCUAUGCAAGCAAAUGAGCUAGUCUAAAAUAAAAAUGCAACCCCAAAUAUGUAAGGGAAAGGUUAGGGGAUCAUGUAGACAUGAGAAAUAUUAAAAGGAAUGAAAUGUAGUGAAGGCAAGCAAGUAUGCACUAGCGAAAGAGGACGGCCCUAUUGGGUCUAGCAUUGGGCUAGCCCUUCACUAACGCUCUCUCACAAGCAUUGGACUUGCGAGCUUGAGGGGAAGACCAUGACUAGCAUUGGAUCAGCCACGGUAACGUGCAUCUACAUCCACCAUAUAUAAUCAAUAGGCAUGGUUAAAGCAAGUAGGCAUGUGACACUUGUCCCAAUGCAUGCCUGUUACUUGACCAUAUAUUUUGCCUUGUUGUCUAAUACCCCAAAGGGACACUUGUCCCAAUGCAUGCCUGUCACUUGUCAUUUUUUCUUCUUUUUUCUUUCUUUUUCUCUCUUCUUCUUUUUUUUCCUUUUUUCCUGAAAUUUAGUAUGAAGGCAAAAUAAAUAAUAAAAUAAAAAUAAAAUAAAAUAAACCUAAAAUUGAAACAAAUAAAGCUAAAAUCAAAUAAAGUUUGAAAAUAAAAAAUUUGGUGUCUACAGCCACCUGUGAUUCAGUUGGUUUAUUGUAUACUCUCUGGUCAACACCAGGCAGAGUACGCAGAAUUAUCUUAUAGCUAGCUAAAUUAGGAACAUUGCUUAAGCCCCUAAAAAGUUUUGCAUAUGGAUUGUUCUCAAGGACAAUCAUGAUUUUUUUAAUUACAUUUUCUAAUAGCCUUGGACAGGCAGCUUUACAGUUAGAAAGCUCAUUUUCAGCAUCAUGAAAGUACAAUUGCAUGUUACUGACUGGAUUGCUAGCAAGUGUCAAGUUAUUCAGAAAAUGAUGCACUUAUCCUUGUACUUUAAAUGUAUACACUUCUUUGUUUCGUUUAGAAAGAUUCUUAUCACAUUUAACACCAAAAGAUGUGAAUCCAAAGUGAUUAAUGUAAGUUCUAAUCAACUACCUAAAUGUUUCUGCUUCCUCAGAAGAUGAAGUUAAGAGUUCUCUCAAAAUAUCUAGAAGAUUAUUCUGCAUGACGACUAUAUCGCCAUUAGCACAGCAAAAGUUUGCCAUCUCUGAGUAAAACUUUUUAGCUCCACAGUGCAAACAGUCCUUUUGUUUUGGUAGAAUACCAAGAAUGUCAACUAUAUAGUCUAACAAAUCUCUUCCUUUCUUAGGAGUGGUUCCUAAAGUAAAACAAUAAAUAAUAAUUGACUGCAUUAGAAACCUCUAUAGUAAGGUGUUUUUUUAAUUAAGAUAAAGUAAAAAAUAUUGACUAUAACUUGAAUGUUUUCUUUUUCUUUGGCAUAUGUUUUGCCGUUCAUAGGACAGUUGCAUUGCUUCAUCUUGCAAUGAUUGAUUUGACACAUAAGAUCACAAGAUCAUAAUUUUAGUAAAUAUGAUACCAAGCAGAUGAUACACUAAAUUUUUUAUGAGUGGUAAAAGGAAUUACCUCUAUUAUGGUCCAUAGGUGUAGCAAUGUUUUCAGAAUUUCUUGAUGGCUGGAUAUACUCUCGCAUAUGGUUAUGCUCCUAGUACAAAUAGCCUGAGUAGGCUGGACAGUUUCAUUGUGAAACUUUUUAGAGUACUAUCUAAUAUAUGUUUAUUGCCUAUUUUUAGUAAGUCUAAUACUGUCAUUGUUUUGAGCUUCAGAGGCAUCUUGCAGAUGUUCUCUAUCAAUAUCUAAUAGAGAAAUGUUGACUGGUUCAGUAGAAGAUUGCUUCUUCAUUUGAAAAUGAUAUAAGCGCAAUAUUUUUUAUUUCCAUCUAAGGUAAGCCAGCUUUCUAUAGUUUUUCUCCUCUAAAUGGUUACCUAAACGUGGCAAGCUUACAAAAGCAACGUGUUGUAAUUAGACAUCAUGGCAUAACUAUGUGUAGUAGCCUAUUUGCCAUGUAGAACAGGAAUAAUAGCGGUUGAUCUACACAUUGAACUUUUGAAAUUUUGGUCUUGGACUUGCAUGCUACAAUUUCCUAAUAUUGGUUCGCAUAAAAUUUGUCAUUGCAUCCUUUGUCAGUUGAGUCAAUAAUUAUGUUUGUCUAAUUCAUUUUUUCCUUUCUUUUGACUAUCAAAAUUUAACUCAUAAUGAAACAGGCAAUCAAUUAUCUUAGUUAUGCAUUAAAUCUUGCAUAUGAACAAUUAGCUUAGACCAAGCAGUUUGAAAGAUCAUUACCAGAUUUCACAAUCAUAGGCACACAGUAUAUAUGAUUCAAUAGUAAGCAGCUACCAAUGCUUAUGAAAUUAGGAAAUAUCAAUUAAACUUAGCGAGCAUUUUAUCAAACAUUAGGCAGGCUAGUUAUGAGUAAUAUGACUAACCUGAAGUAAAGUGAUGGUCCAAGCCAAAAUCUUCAAUACUGAAGGCAAUGCUGCAACAUGAAAAUAGGAAACAUGUAAAAGAAACUAUGUGUUACUACAAUAAGAUAUAAAUGCAUAUACGUGAUGAAGAAAAGGCUAAGAAAAAUUGUAUUACCAAAUGAUCAGAAAGCAAGAUAGUGAAGGAAGAUUUCUUUCUGCUAUGUGCGAACAAAAAAGAAAUAAAGCAGAACAGCAGCUAUUAAUGAAUGUAGUAGUGUGGACUAUACUACUCAAGGCUGAACUAUUCAAUGUUUGUUUGUUGAUAAUAAUUUCGUCUAAAAAGGUAGUUUAUGAAAUGAUGUGAGACGCGGAAGCUACUUCGGAUCUAGAGAAACACGUUGAAGAUUUGAUGGCGUUGAACCCGAACUUGGACCACUCAAGAACAGAUGUAACGGUAGAGGACGCCACAAUCAAGUGUGUGUGCUUGAUUGAUAAGUCAAGAAUAGCCUAGGAUCAACUCUAGGAUGUUCAACUUAACUUUCACAAGCUAAGGGAAUUUGCCCCAAGGAAUGGACGAAAUUCUGGAAAUUUUAUUCAAUACUCUCAAAAACUGAAUGCAACAUAUGACUUGAGGCUAUUUAUAGCCGCGCCUAAGACAUAAUAAACUGAAAAAAUAACAAGGAAAGUUCGGCCAGCCCCCUUGGGCCUUCAGCGAGGGUACUUAACUGCGGCUCAACCCGCCGUUCGGAGCUUGAACACUUGCAUCUUCUAUUGUAAGCAGCAUUUUAGUAGUUGUGUAAGGAUCUUCCAACGAUCUUUCAAGUCAAUUCCUUCAAUGGCCGGUUUCUCUUGGACUUGGACGGCACGAUCCAAGGCUUGGAGGGACUCAUUGAAUCUCUUAGCUCGUGCUUGUGUCAAUGGGCCUUAGGGCACCUUCACAGGGUCUACUUGUUCACUAUGUGCCUCGCGCUCAACCGCAUCAUUCCCUCCUCUUGAAAAGGAUUUGUCCUCAAAUCGUACUCGUCAUCUACAAUAAAUGGACUUAGAUCAGUAACAUUGAAUGUAGCACUAACAUUAUACUCACCAGGCAGAACUAAGCGGUAUGCAUUGUCGUUGAUGCGCUCAAUGACUUGAAAAGGCCCAUCUCCUCUUGGUGACAGCUUGCUUUGCCGUUGUUUUGGAAAUCUCUCCUUGCGCAAAUGUAACCAGACCCAAUCACCUGGUUCAAAGACAAGCUUGCGCCUGUGCUUAUUAGCUUGUUGGACAUAUUGGGUUGUCCUUCUCUCAAUGUUGGUACGAACCUUGUCAUGUAAUGAUCUCACGAACUCAGCUUUCUUCUUGUCAUCUAAGUUCAUAUACUCAGAAGAAGGUAAUGGCAACAAAUCUAAGGAAGUUAAGGGGUUAAAACCAUACACAACUUCAAAAGGCGAGAAUUGUGUAGCACUAUGCACAACCCUAUUGUAUGCAAACUCAACAUGAGGUAGACACUCCUCCUAUGACUUGAUAUUUUUCUUUACGAUUACACGUAGGAGUGUGGAUAAAGUCCUAUUGACUACCUCAGUUUGUCCGUCCAUUUGAGGAUGACUAGAGGUAGAGAACAAUAGUUUGGUUCCCAACCGACCCCAUAAAGAUUUUCAAAAAUAGCUCAAAAACUUGACAUCUCUAUCGGAUACUAUAGUCCUAGGUAUGCCAUGCAAACGAACAACCUCUUUAAAGAAUAAGUCAGCAAUGUGCAAAGCAUCACCCGUCUUAUGACAUGCAAUAAAGUGAGCCAUUUUGGAGAAUCUAUCUACCACAACAAAUAUAAAGUCAUGGCCAUGCUUAGAACGAGAUAAACCAAGCACGAAAUCCAUGGAAUUAUCAACCCAAGGUUGAUAAGGUAUGGGUAAAAGAGUAUACAAACCAUUUGGGUUGACCCGAGACUUAGCUUUGUAGCACACGCCACAUCUUUCAACAAUCCUCUCCACAUCCCUGCGCAUGCGAGGCCAAUGGAAGUGUUCCUGCAAUACAACUAAUGUUUUGGUGACACCAAAGUGCCCAAUUAGUCCACCAUUAUGUGACUCUUGAAUAAGUAAGUCACGUAUGGACCCUCGAGGAAUGCACAACUUGGUAAGAUAAAAUAAGAACCCAUCAUGCACAAAGAAUUUUUCAAAGUCAGAUUUUCCCCAAUUCGCAUAAGCUUUCGCAAAAUCCAAGUCAUCCUUAUAUAACUCCUUCAUGAGCUCAAAGCCUAGGAGUUUAGCAUCUAAAGCAGUGAGCAAAACGUGUCUACGAGAUAAAGCAUCAGCCACUACAUUAGACUUACCUAUUUUGUAUUUGAUGACGUAUGGAAAAGACUUGAUGAAGGCUACCCAUCGGGCAUGCCGUUUGCUCAGUUUUUGUUGUCCUUUUAGGUGCUUGAGAGAUUCAUGGUCAGUUUUAAUGACGAAUUCCCGAGCACGUAUGUAGUGUUGCCAUGUCUCCAAAGCACGUACGAGAGCAAACAUCUCCUUGUCAUAAAUUGAAUAGUUGAGGACCGCGCCAUUUAAUUUCUCACUAAAGUAGGCGAUCGGUCUCCCUCCUUGCAUGAGUACGGCUCCUACUCCUACACCUGAUGCAUCACAUUCCACUUCAAAAGUGAGAUCAAAGUUAGGUAUUGCAAGUAGUGGUGCAUGUGUGAGUUUAUGUUUUAGCAAUCGGAAAGCCUUAUCUUGGACUUCCCCCCAAAAGAACUUCUCAGUCUUCUUUAUGACCGCGGUAAGAGGUAUAGCAAUGGUGCUAAAAUCCUUCACAAAACAACGGCAGAAACUUGCUAAUCCAUGAAAACUGCGCACAUCACUUACAGAGGUAGGUGUUGGCCACUCUUGGAUGGCCUUAAUCUUCUCUUCAUCUACAUGAAUGCCCUGUGCACUUACAACAUAUCCUAGAAACACAACAUGAUCAGUGUAAAAUGUGCACUUCUUAAGGUUGGCAUAUAGCCUUUCCCUUCGAAGUACUUCAAAGAUGGCUUUGAGGUGCUCAAGGUGUUCCUCUAAAUUUCUACUAUAAAUCAGAAUAUCAUCAAAGUAAACUACUACAAAUUUCUCAAGAAAUGUCACAAAACAUGGUUCAUUAAACACAUGAAGGUACUAGGUGCAUUAGUUAAGCCAAAUGGCAUUACUAACUACUCGUAUAGACCAUGUUUAGUUUUGAAAGCGGUUUUCCACUCAUCUCCCUCUUUCAUUCUUAUUUGGUGGUAUCCACUUUUUAAAUCAAUUUUAGUAAAGAUAAUGGCACCAUGCAAUUCAUUUAACAUAUCAUCUAAUCUAGGGAUAGGGUGACGAUAUUUUACCGUGAUUGCAUUGACUGCUCGACAGUCGGUGCACAUUCUCCACGCUCCAUCUUUCUUUGGCACGAGAAUCACUGGUACAGCACAUGGACUUAGACUUUCUCUAGCCCAACAUUUCCUUAGCAAUUCCUCCACUUGCCUUUGCAAUUCCUUUGUUUUCUCAGGACCCAUUCUAUAGGCCGGUUUGUUAGGCAAUGGUGCUCCAGGAAUGAGAUCAAUUUGGUGCUCGAUUCCCCUUAGCGGUGGUAGUCCAUCAGGUACAUCCUCAGGAAAUAUGUCCUCAAAUUCCUGCAAGAGAAGUAAAAUAGUAGAAGGCAAGGAGUCAGUGGGUAUGGAUGAAAUGAACAACUCUUCUUUGCAUAGAAACAUAAGUAAGAGUUGGUUGGAAGACAAAACUCGCUUUACAUCUUUGGCUUUUGCUAGCAAGCUUAACUUCCCCUUAUUUUCUUCUCUCAUAACUGACCCACUUGUUGCCUUUUUCUUCCCUAGGGGUUCGGCCCUACUCUCUUCUUUUUCUUCCUCACUUUUCUCUCGCUUUUUCCUCUCAAGUUCUAGCUCAUACUCCUUUUGGAGCCUCAUUUGAUCUUCAUACACUUGUUUUGGGGUGAGAGGUACAAGCGUCACCUUUCUAUUGCAAUGAGUAAAGACAUAUUUAUUAGCCCUUCCCUUGAAUUCGACAUCGCGAUCAUAUUGCCAAGGCCAUCCAAGAAUGAGGUGACUUGCUUGCAUUGGCACAACAUCACAAGUAACCUCAUCUUCGUACUUGCCAAUUCGGAAUGGCACUUUUACUUGUCUAAACACACGGACUUUCCCUUCAUUGUUCAACCAUUGAAGGCAAUAAGGUCUUGGAUGUUUGAUAACUGGGAGCCCUAACAUUUCUACCAUGAGUAGAUUAGCUACAUUGGCACAACUCCCACUAUCAAUAACAACACUACAUAUCUUAUCCUUGAUAUGACACCUUGUGUAGAAAAGAUUAUCUCGUUGUACCUCCAUUUCUUCCUCCUUGGCGUGGGUAGUGAGGACCUUUCAAAUCACUAGGCAUCCAAUCUCCUCAUGCGUAGGUAUCUCCCCACUCGAUUCAUUCUCUUCCUCCUCUAGAGGCGGCAUCCCCUCGUACUCCUCUUCCUCGUCCGAUACAAUUUUCCCAUUUGGCAACAUGAGCAUGGUCAUUUGGUUGGGGCAUUGAGAAGCGAUGUGGCCAAAUCCUUGACACUUAAAACGCUUGGUGUCUCGGCCACGCGGUUUGGAAGCUCCAUUAUUAGUCUUAAAGUUAGGCUUGGCCGUUGCCUUGGAAGGGAGGCCAUUCGGCCUUGGAGGGUGAGAAGGAGCUGCAACCUUCUCCUCCCUUUUUGGUUGAGAAGUGCGCCAAUUUUCAGCUUGAUAAGUAGUGCUUUAUCGCGCACUACCCCUCCUCUUGAGGCGCCAUUCAACUGUGACCGCCUUCUCGAGCAUUUCAUUCAUGUCGAGGUAGAGUUGGAGUUCCACUACUUCAGCAAUCUCGGACCUCAAUCCAUGUAGAAAACGAGCCAUAGUAGCCUCUCCAUCUUCAUGCAAAUCCGCCUUCAUGAUGGCCAUUUCCAUCUCCUUGUAAUAAUCCUCAACUGACAUGGACCCUUGGUUGAGAGCUUGUAGCCGACGGUGCAGAUCUCGGCUAUAGUAGCUCGGAACGAACCUUUUUCUCAUCAAGCUCCUCAUUUCCUCCCAAGUUUCCACAGGUCUCUCACGAUUUCUCCUUCAGCUUAGUCUAAGUUGGUCCCACCAAAUGGAGGCGUAGUCAGUGAAUUCUACGGCUACUAGUUUCACCUUUUGCUCCUCCGUAUAGGUGUGGCAUUCAUAGACUAAUUCAAUUUUCCGUUCCCAUUUCAAGUACGCCUCAGGGUCUGACUUGCCUUGGAAUGAAGGAAUCUUGAGUUUGACACAUUUAAUGGUGUCGUCUCCUCAACGUUGGAACCUUUGAUCAUGUUAGUACCUUCCCUCAAACGCUUCCUCUUCAUCAUUUGAACAUGUCGAUUCUUUGCCCUUACCCGAGGUAGAUGGAGGUCUCGAGUUCUCCAACUGAUCAAUCCGGUCAUGCAAUGGCUCAAUUUCAUUCUUAAGCAAUCGUUUGAACUCUCUCAUCAUGGCUUCCAACUGUAGUUUGAUGUCCACGGUUUGGUCACCAACUUCACUAGACAUAUUUAGUUCACCUGCAAAACAAAUAAACAAAAUGAGUUCCUCUCUCUUUUUUUUUAUACAAUGUAUAGGUCACUCACACUCGUGUUUCACUCAAAUGUAUCUCUCUCUAAUAAUUCUCACCAAGCAAUUCCUUGGCUUGCUAGUUGCUCGGGUUGAACAAACUAGGCGUCACCGCAAUAUACAUUCUUGACUAGUCAACAAGUGACACACAAGCUAGUAGCAAUAAAUGGAGGUGAAUGAAUGAAGACCUAAACACGACUCAAGACUCAAAAUAUAGCUGUACAAUAACUAACGACUCAAAAGAAAGCAAGACAAUUAACUUGAAUGCUGAAAUUUUGAAAUUCCUAGAAAACUCUACCUGAAACCCAAUUUUCUGGAAUUUGUUGAGCUGCUGGUCCGAGGUCUUUUUGGUAAGGGUUUUGGAGUAUUUUGGGUGGCCUUAGGCUGGUCAAAUAAUGGGCAAUCUACUACCCAAAACGCUGCCCAAUCGGGUGUCACAAUUGCUCCAACGGUUUUAGGAAAAUUCAAGAAUUCAAGAUUCGGAAUUGGAAAGUUUGAUCUGAUUUGGACACUUGGGGUUGCCAAGGAUUGGAAACCUUGGAGUCUGGUUAGAUUUGGGAAUCCCAAGUGGUUGAAAUUCGAAAUUUUUUGGGGUUGGUCAGAUUUUGCACCAAAUUUGAUAAAACUUGUAAGCUGUCAAAAAUAGGAAACUUAGGAUUUCUUUGACCUUUGUUGUAGCCGAUUUUUUUAGCUGGUCAAGAAUUGGAGGUUGUUCAGAUUUGGAAGUCCAAGUUUGAAUCAAAUUUGGUGGCUUGAAGGCUGACCAAGACUAGGGCUGUUCAGAUUUGAAAGUCCAAGUUUGAAUCAGAUUUGGUAAAACUUGGAGACUGGUCAAGAAUUGGAAACUAGAGCUGUCUUUCUUGAAUUUUUUUUUUGACUUCUGUUGGGGUGUUUUCACACAAUAAUAGCCAGCCAGUUUAGACCACAAUCUCAAAGCAAUUAACGUAAACAACUUGGACAGAUUUAGUUUCAAAAUCAAAGUUCCAUAAAAACAAGAACACGGUUGAAGGGAUUUGGUUUCAAGAUCAAAGUCCCAUGAAAAUAAGAACACGGUUGAAGGUUUAUUUCAUGUUUCAAGACUGCCAAGAUUAACCUCUGGUGAUCCAAGAAGCUCAAGACUUCCCCAAUAAGGUUUUGAUGUUCGAGUUUUGCAAGGCAACAACACAAAGGUUCAAGAAACAAGUGCAAACAGAUUCGGCAACCCAGCAAAUUAAUUCCAGCAACGACUCAAGGGAAUGACAACAAGGUAUGCAACACAACAGAUUUUUUUUUUUCUUGUUGGCUAAGUCACGACUAACCAACACAACAGAAUUUUGGAUUUAAAUAGAACAUAAACACAAGACAAAACUGGACAGAAUUUUUCGGACAACAACUAAACAACAAAGACAGAUUUGUGACAAGGAACCAACCAAGACAGAUUUCGGAUUUGACAAACCCGAACACUUGAGCUACGAAUUUAGAAGACUAAAACAGAUCUAAAAACAAUAAAAAGGGAUAUACGUGAUACCUCUAACCAGCUCUGAUGCCAGUUGAUGCCAGACGCGGAAGCUACUUCGGAUCUAGAGGAACACGUUGAAAAUUUGAUGGCGUUAAACCCGAACUUUGACCACUCAAGAAUAGAUUUAACGAUAGAGGACGCCACAAUCAAGUGUAUGUGCUUGAUUGAUAAGUCAAGAACAGUUUAGGAUCAACUCUAGUGUAGACACCAAAUUUUUGUCAAUUUUUAAUAUUUUCCUAAAUUUUUAUCUAUUUAAUAAGUAUCUAUUAUUAUUAUUAUUGUUAUUGUUAAUGUGUAAUUUUCUCAUUUUUGCAGGUUUAUUUUAGAAAAAAAAAGAGAAAAAAAACAAACAACAAAAAAAACAAAAAAAGAAAAAAGGAAAAGUUAAAAAAAACAAAAAAAAAUCAAAAAUCAAAUCAAAUCAAAAUCAAAUUAUUACAAAACUUACACAUUUUCAUCAUUUUUCCUACCAAAAAACACUUAACCCAUUCCUACACUCAACUUUCUUGUCAUCUGGUAAAAAAUAAUCAUUUGGACCAAAUACACACACAAGCUCCUCUUUUUCUCUCCCAAUAUGGUUUCUCUCGGCUGGCAGACAAAAAAAAAAACACUCGACUCUUUCUCCCUCUCAAUAUACAUCCCUCGGCCCUUUCUUUGACUCUCACCAGAAAACACACAAGAGCAAAGCUCCCCAUUUUGGCCUUCCUUAAGCUCUCCACGGACAGAAAAGGAUAGACGAAGGAAACUUUGGGAGCCAGGGAGAUACGCUCAAGGUGUGGAAAUUGUAUUAAACCCUUUGGUUAAGGAACUACCACUUACACUGAGGUAUUUUCUAGUUUUCUUUCUACCAUAUUACAAUCCAUGUUUCAAUGUCUAAUUUCUCUUGUUUUUGCUUUUUUUUAUUAUUGUUGUGGUUGUAUAUUAAUUUCUCUUGUUUGCUGGUUUUUAUUGUUGUUGUUGCAUUGCCAAAAUUUGGGAAAUGGCAUGAACCAGAUGAAGGAAAAGGAAAUGUUUCUCAUGCAUGCAUGCUAAAUAUUUGAUGAAAUGCCAAAACAAAAAAAAAUGAAUUUUAGAAACUGUUUUGUCUUAAUGUAGUCUUUUGUUGUUGUUUUCUUGCUAGCUAAGAUUAUAUUUGUAAUGUAAAGAUUAUAAGGAGUAUUGUAAUAUGUUUUUAUGAAUUUUUUGGUGAAGGUUUAAAGGUCUAAAAAUAAUAAAAAUGCAGCUGUUUUUUGGCCAUUUGGUCACUUUUCUUUCUUCUUUUUGUAAAAACUAACUCCGAAAAUGGAACCUACGCGAAAAAUGGAGUGGGGAGGUGUAUUUUGAGAAAUUUUGAUCACCGGAAAGGUCGCCGGCGGUGGCGGUCCGGUGGCGGCGGCGCCACCGGCGGCCACCAUGGCUGCCAGCUGAAGCUUCUUCGGUUGGCCGAAGAAGAAGGAAAGUAAACGUAUGGGGAAGAAAAGAGAAAGAAAAGAAAGAAAAGAAAAGAAAGAAAAAAAAAAAGGGGGAUUGGGCUAAUGUUUAGUUUUCGGUUGGGCCAAGAGCUAGUUUUGUUAGGUUUUGGGGCUGGUCUUUGGUUUAUGUUUCUUUUGGGUUUCGGUUGGGCUAGGAGGUUGGAGCCCAUGUGUUUUUGGCUGGGUUUGAGUGAUAAAAGACGGGCUGGCCUGUGUGUUUUGGCUUGGGCUUUCAGUUGGGUUUAGAUAGGUUCGGCCCAAGUAAAAUAAAAAGGGAGGCCCGAUGCCCUUUUCUUGCCCAAAUCAGAAACGAACUUGCACUUUAGCCCCUGAUUUUUGGAGUACUUUCAUUGCGGCCCAGAACAUUUUAAAUUCCUUUCAGCUCGGUCCUUAAUUUAAUUGCACUUUGGUCCCUGAAUUUUAUCUUUCAUUUAAUUUUGACCCCUGAACUUUGAAAAAUAUAAUUUUUGUCCCCCAAAAGUUUUCAAUUUUUGCAAUUCAAUCCUUGUCAAAUUUUGGCUCUCUUUAUUAUGAUUGUUUCUUUUCUUCAAUAACUAAUUAUGUUACUUUUGAACAUAUUCAAUUUGUAAUUUUUAGAUGUUUUAAAUUUCUUUAUGUUUGACAUAUUAGUGUGAGUUUAGUACUUUUAUUAUUAUUGUUUUUUUCAAUUAAAUUGGUGCCAUGAUUCUUUUGUUCAUUGUGAGUAUAAAUAGGACAGUUUGACUCCAUUUAGUCACCACUUUAAACGGGAGAUACCCCUAUUUUUAUUAUUUCAAUGUCAAUUACGCGCUCUUAUGUGCUCCUAUGUGUUUAUAUUUUUAUAUGCUUUAUUUAUUUGAUUUAAAUACUCAUUCAAAUUUUCUUAUAUAUGUUUUAGUUAAUUUUGACAAUGAUUCAAGAGACAUUUAAAUACCUCAAAAAUGUAAUAGAUAGGAUAAUUAGAUUUGUUUUAUUAUAUUUUUUCCUUCUACAUUGUAGUUAGGCGCUCCCCGAUGUAAUAGAUAGGUUGCGUGUUUAUGUGGUUUAUGUGUUAUGUGUUUUAUCCGCUUUUCUUAGGAUUUUGGCAUCUAGAUAUUAUGUUUACGUGUUAUGUGCUACGUGCUCUUAUGUGUUUAUUUGUUUUAAUUUAUGUUUUAUUUGUUUCACUAUGAAUUGUUAAUGCAUGACGUCACUACACUAGUCCAACGCUAGUUGUGGUUUCUCCCUUCGCUUACUUGCUAGUCCAACGCUAGUAAGGAUUUUUAGAAAUGAGCUAGUCCAACGCUAGACCCUUUAGGUCAUCUUGUGCUAGAUUCAUCUUUAUAUGCUAUUCACUACAUUUUCAUGCAUAUUUUCAUUUUUAGGAUCUUUUCUUAUUUGCAUGAUAUUCCCUAUUAUAUUAUCCCCUACCCGCUAUAGGUGCUAAUCAUGUCAUUUAGAAUUGCAUCUCAUUUAAGCUAGUUCAUUUGCUUGUUCAUGUUAGGAUAAUUAUUUUUCAAACAUGGGAAAUGAGUGAUUAUAACUUUCUAGUUUAAAUACCCUAUUAAUCCAUGUAAGAGAAAAUUAUGUUACGAGUUUUUCCGCCUCCCGUACCCUUUAUGUUGCAUUCCCUUUUUCUUUGAUCACUUAUAUAUAUGUAUAUAAUUUAAUUUCUUUUCUUUUACUUUAUUUUCUUUUUUCAUCAUUUGCAUCCUCGUGACACCUUCAAGGAUUCAUUUUUGGCCUUCGCAAUAAAUGUGAUUGGUUCAAUUAAACUCUUGAAUGAACAUUUUGUCCCUUUCGAUAUUUUAUUUUUGCAUUCAUGUAGAAAACAUUCAAAUAUGAUAAAAUUAAGGGUUAGAUUAGAAAAAUUUUGACUAAACCUCGCAACUAGCUUAGACUAAGUUGAAAGGGUGCCUUAGGUUUGAGUUAAUCGAACCUUUGCCUUCCCUUUCUUCAACCGUGACUCCCGAAUCCGUUUUCUUUUGUUUUUCAAAGACCUGGAGUUGUCAAAAAGGGUUUUAUUUUAUUUUACUUUAUUUUUUGGGUGACUUGGUACACCAAAACUUCAUACCAAGUGGUGACUCCUAUUUUUACUAAAAAACCCCUUUAGACUAAAUUUUGGACCCAAAUUGUCGCAUUUUUUUAAGUCCCAUUCUAGGUCCCUUUUAACUUGUUUUAAAAUAAAAUCACAUCUUUUAUAAAUCUCACACUUUAUUUUUUAUUUUCAUCGUGAAAAAUGGGGCGCGACAACUCUAGGAUGUUCAACUUAGCUUUCACAAGCUAAGGGAAUUUGCCACAAGGAAUGGACGAAAUUCUGAAAAGUUUAUUCAAUACUCUAAAAAACUGAAUGCAACAUGUGACUUGAGGCUAUUUAUAGCCGCGCCUAAGACCUAAUAAAUUGGAAAAAUAACAAGGAAAGUUCGGCCAACGCCCUUGGGCCUUCAGCGAGGGUACUUAACUGCGACUCAACCCGCUGUUUGGAGCUUGAACACUUGCAUCUUCUAUUGUAAGCAGCAUUUUAGUAGUCGUGUAAGGAUCUUCUAACUCAAUUCCUUCAAUGGCCGGUUUCUCUUGGGCUUGGACGGCACGAACCAAGGCCUGGAGGGACUCCUUGAAUCUCUUAGCUCGUGCUCGUGUCACUGGGCCUUGGGGCACCUUCACAGGGUCUACUUGUUCACUAUGUGCCUCGCGCUCAACCGCAUCAUGAAAGCUAAUAUAGUACUUUGUAUUUGAAUCUAAUGGUUAUGAAAAGAUGAAGUACAACUGAUAACUUAUCAAAAGGUUGACAUUUAUAUGAAGUUCAACCUAACUCUUAGAAAGAAAGCAAUCGUCUAAUCUGAUUAGGUGAUUGUCAAAAAGUGCAGUGGUUGAAGAAUGUUUUUUUUUCUACUUUGUUACAAACAAACCAGAGUAAAAACUGUAGAACCAAACAAUCUCUAAGUUGCCUUCUUAAAUACUCUUAACUGGAAUUGAUAACUUUAAGAGCUUCUUGAUAACAUUAAGAACCAAAUGUAUAAAUGAAUUAAAAUGGAAUUGAUAACAAAAAUAUAUAAUAUAUUAAGUGGCAAUGUUAGUUCAACUCUUAACUAGAAUUGAUAACUUUAAGAGCUUCUUGAUAACUUUAAGAACCAAACGUAUAAAUGAAUUAAAAUGGAAUUGAUAACAAAAAUAUAUAAUAUAUUAAGUGGCGAUGUUAGUUCAAUUGUGUAUCCUUAAAUGACAAUAAAAAUAUGAAUAAACAUAAAAUCAAGUGUUACCUAAAAUUUUAGACAUUAACAAAUCAAAAUAAAAUUGACACAUAUAAAUGUACAUUGCAUUGAGUAGAAAUAAUAACUUGUUCUUUAUAAUAGGAUAGAAUCAAUUUUGCUUUACAUUAAUAAUCUUUUGCUUUACAUUAACUUUAAAUGAUAACUUAUUUUGACAAAUAUAUUUUAAAUGAUAAGGUUGAAAACUCGAAUAGAAAUAAUUAAAUCUUAAAUUAAUUUGUCAAAUAUAAGUUGAAAUGUUAAUGUGAAUAGUAAUAAAUAUAAAUUCUAAUUGAAUUAUAUCUAUUCAAAAUGUAGAUAUUGAAAAGUCUACUCAAAAUAAUUCAACCUUAUAAAGAAAUGCUAAAUGCAAUCUAAUCUGGGUCAUUGAACACAUCUAAAGUAAUGCCAACUCCACAAGACAAUACCAAAUCCAUAUAGAAAGCAAAAGAGAAAACUCAAAAUUCACCCAGAAUACCACAUGUUAGUAAGGGGAAUUGCUACAGUAAAUUUGGACCUCUACUUAUCUUAUAGUAAGAUAAGAUAAGGUAUUUGAUAAUACGUUGUAGUAUAUUUUUAGUCCUUUAGAUAAACAUUCAAUUAAACACCUUGCAAGGGGACACUUUAUAGUUUUAUUCCCAGAAUCAACAUAGCGCUUAGAACAAGUAGUACCAAUGCCCACUGAUUUUAGUUCGGCCUAUCAAAGCCCAUCUCAUGUCGAGUUGGGCCACCGCAGUUUAGUACCACCACUACUCUUUUUCUUUCGUCAUUCCCCUGGUAACCUUCUCCUUCCCUGAAGCAUUCUCAGUAGCCCUUCGCGUUCUUCUUCUUCCUUAUGCAAGCUACACUCGUGCUUCUCAUUCACCCUCUUUUUCUACCUGCUGCUCUUUUAAGGGUCUUGAAGGGGACAAGUUUCAACUAGAGAUUUUGUAUGCAGGUUAGUUUCUUAUUGCUUUUGCUGUACUUUUCUUACUCUGUGAUGAUUUUGUUCAAUAGACUUCAUUUAUCAAUGUUCUUGGGAUGUUCUUGGCGGAUUGUCAUAGGCUUUCCAUUAAUCUUUUAGUAAAGUAGAAAUGUUUUUUGAUUUGAUCCUGAGUUGAAAUUGGUCGACUUUGACAAUUAGGCUGCAUGUUUUACUCAUUUGAUUCUUCCUGAAUUGUCCUCAGUCACCGAUUUUGGAGUCUCCGACUUGUAGGGUAUCGUUAUCAGAAUGGCCUGCCAAGUUUCGAUGAUGAAUUUUUGAAGCAUGGUUAAAAGAGAAAUUCAGUGCGUUGAUUAUUUUGCAGAGAUUUUAUUUAAAGCUGAAAAGUGCAAGAAUGAUGGCACUUUUUGCGAGCCUAGGUAUGCUGGUUGAAUUCAUUUAAUUCCUGAAUGUUUUCCCGUUCUUUCUAUUUCUUUAAUCAUGAGUUUGUUGAUUUACUGGAACUCUAAGUUUGUUUCUGGUAGCUCACUGAUCAUACUGAUCCUAAUUGGUACCGCAGGAUUAAUGUUUCAGUCUGCCUCAAGAUGCUUUCGUGUGAUUGCCUCUUACAGAAGCUUGUCAUUUUCAAGUAAUGGACCUUGCAAUCAGGAUGGUGGAUCAGCUUCUUUUGGAAAUGGGGUUAACCAAGAAUAUUUGGGAAAAUCAGAGGGUAUAUGGCAAGAAGCGGACAGAGUGUGCCUGAUCCUGGAGAGUGGAUCUUGGGGGCCUUCAGUUGAAAAUGCUUUAUCUACGUAUGAUGAAAAACGUCAUUCAGAACUAGUUAUUGGAGUCUUAAGGAGGCUGAAAGAUGUUCAACAAGCACUAAACUAUUUUCGGUGGGUUGAGAAGAAAACUGACGAAGCGCAUUGUCCUGAGGCAUACAAUAUGCUUCUCAUGGUAAUCGUGAAGAGUAAGAGGUUUGAUCAUGUGGAACAAAUUUUGGAAGAGAUGGGUCUUGCUGGGUAUGGCCCAUCCAACAGUACCUGUAUUCAGCUAAUAGAUAGCUAUGUCAAGACUCGAAAAUUAAGGGGAGCAUUUGAUUGUAUUCAGACAAUGAGGAAGUUAAAGUUUCGCCCUGCAUUUUCAGCUUACACUACCCUAAUUGGUGCCCUAUGUACUGUUAAUGAACCUGAUCUUAUGCGGGCACUCUUUCUUCAGAUGCAAGAAUUAGGUUAUGAAGUGAGUGUUCAUUUAUUUACAACUCUUAUACGAGUAUUUGCCAGGGAAGGUCGAGUUGAUGCUGCUCUCUCGCUUUUGGAGGAGAUGAAAAGCAACUCAUUGGAUGCAGACAUUGUUCUCUAUAAUGUGUGUAUAAACUGCUUUGGCAAGGUGGGUAAGGUGGAUAUGGCUUGGAAGUUUUUUCAUGAGAUGCAAGCUAAUGGAUUCGUACCUGAUGAAGUUACAUAUACGAGUAUGAUUGGUGUUCUCUGCAAGGGUAACAGACUGGAUGAAGCUGUGCACCUGUUUGAACAGAUGGAGCAGAAUAGGGCAGUCCCAUGCGCAUAUGCUUAUAGCACUAUGAUCAUGGGAUAUGGAUCUGCUGGAAAGUUUGAUGAAGCAUAUAGGUUACUUGAAAGGCAAAGGUUAAAGGGAUCCAUACCAAGUGUAAUUUCAUACAAUUCUCUUCUAACCUGCCUUGGGAAGAAGGGAAAAGUUGAUGACGCAUUAAGGAUCUUUGAGGAGAUGAAAAAAGAUGCAGCACCUAAUCGCACAACUUAUAAUAUCAUCAUUGACAUGCUUUGCAGGGAAGGACAGUACAUGGCUGCUUUAGACGUUCGAGAUGCCAUGAAAUUUUCAGGCUUGUUUCCCAAUGUAUUGACUGUAAAUAUAAUGAUUGACCGUUUGUGUAAGGCUCAGAAACUUGAUGAAGCUUGUUUUAUUUUUGAAGAAAUGGACCACAAACUUUGUAUGCCAGAUACAAGGACAUUUUGCUCUCUUAUAGAUGGCUUGGGUAGGCAUGGCAGGGUAGAUGAUGCAUACAGGUUAUAUGAGCAGAUGUUAGAUUCUGAUCGGGCUCCUGAUGCUGUUGUUUAUACAUCCUUGAUUAAGAACUUUUUCAGGUCUGGAAGGAAGGAAGAUGGGCACAAGAUUUACAAAGAAAUGGUUUCUAGAGGUGUUGCCCCUGAUCUUUUGCUCCUUAACACCUAUAUGGAUUGUGUAUUCAAAGCUGGUGAGACAGAGAAAGGCAGAGCUUUGUUUCAGGAAAUUAAGAAUCUGGGUUUUACUCCAGAUGUGCGGAGUUAUUCUAUUCUGAUUCAUGGUCUUAUAAAAGCAGGCUUUGCAUGCGAAACAUACGAGUUAUUUUAUACAAUGAAGGAAAGAGGGUGUAUUCUUGACACCCUUGCUUAUAACACGGUAAUUGAUGGAUUCUGUAAAUCAGGAAAGGUCAAUAAAGCUUAUCAACUGCUGGAGGAAAUGAAGGUGAAGGGUCAUGAACCUACUGUUGUCACUUAUGGUAGUGUUAUUGAUGGGCUUGCAAAGAUUGACAGGCUUGAUGAAGCUUACAUGCUUUUUGAAGAAGCAAAAUCCACAGGUGUGGAGUUAAAUGUGGUGGUUUACAGUAGCCUUGUAGAUGGGUUCGGGAAGGUGGGUAGAAUUGAUGAAGCAUAUCUGAUUAUGGAAGAAUUGAUGCAAAAAGGCUUGACGCCGAACACUUAUACUUGGAACUGCUUGAUUGAUGCUCUCGUGAAGGCUGAAGAAGUAGAUGAAGCUCUUGUCUGCUUUAAUUCGAUGAAAAACUUGAAUUGCAGUCCAGACUCAAUAACUUACAGCAUUCUCAUAAAUGGGCUUUGUAGGGUGCAAAAAUUCAAUAAAGCCUUUGUUUUUUGGCAGGAAAUGCAGAAGCAAGGUCUAAAACCCAAACUGAUUACUUAUACCACUAUGAUAUCUGGGCUUGCAAAGGCCGGAAAUAUACUAGAAGCUGAUAAACUCUUUGAAAGGUUCAAGGCAAAUGGAGGUGUACCUGAUUCAGCCUGUUAUAAUACUAUGAUAGAAGGGUUAAGCAUUUCAAAUAGGGCAUUGGAAGCUUACCAACUAUUUGAAGAGACUAGGUUAAGAGGUUGCAACAUAUACACAAAAACAUGUAUUGUUCUUAUGGACUCUCUGCAUAAGGCUGAAUGUCUUGAGCAGGCAGCAAUCGUGGGUGUUAUUCUGCGGGAAACAGCAAAGGCACAGCAUGCAUCUAGAUCAUUGUAACAAUGGAUUGGUUACUGUUAUUAGCGACUGAUCACAAUCUGAUGUGUAGUUUUUAUGUGUUUAUUUCUUUGAAUAGGUGGGCUAUCUGGACGCAUUAUUUUAAUAGUUUAGGGCAUAGCAAUAUAGGUCUAAAUUGGGGAUAGAAUCACACAGUUAACUACAUAAACUGGUUUUGAGCCUAUCCUCUAACUUUCCUCUUCCUUUUGUCUUUUUCCCUCAUCAGUUGCAAUUUCUGACUUCAUUUUAUGGCAUUGUGUUGCUUGUUUAAUUAGUCUUCUUCUAGUGUUCAUUCAACUGUUUUUUUUUUUUUUGGGAUCAAAGGUCAAUUUUCAUUACUGUAAACAAGGCUACAAAAGUGUGGAGUUAGUGGAGCAAAUGCCCCAAAAAGAUCAAACUGCCAUAUUCACAGCUGGAAGGUAUUAAACCAUUCCUCAUCUAGGUUAAUGUUUAAAACAUAAUCUGCUAAUCUAUUAGCUAUACUAUUUCCUAUUAGGAGCAAAAGAGAAGGAACAGAAGUGAAUCAAAGAACUGAGCAUAUUGAGGUCCUCGAGCAUGGAAGUCAGGUUAGCAUCUUGACUCCUCUUGGCUUUUAGUUGUGAACUAGUUGUUUGCUAGAGCAUGUUUGAUGUGAAUCCUAUGCCAUCCUGCUUCAAUAGCUUUAAUUAUAGAUAGUUUCAGUCCUUCGGUCUCAUCUUGGAUGCUGUUCCCACUUUUCCUUACAUUGAUUGCCCAACUAGCCUUGACGUGUUUCCUCCAGUCCAUAUCUACCACUCCAAACCCAAGUGAUUCAAAUUUGGAACUUGAGCGUGUAGCUAAGUCAAUGUCAAUCAUUUCUCUGUCCAUACCUCGGGGAAUCUGAUCCUCACUUUGGUCUAUUGAUUCAUUAGGGCUCCUCCUCGUUACAUUCCUUCCUACAUUCUCAUAUUCCAGCCAUUCCUGCCAAGCUUUCAUUAUUGUAUCCUGAAAUCCCCUUCUAAUCUCAGAGAACUGGGAUCUCAACUGUUAUCCAACUGCUUAUAAUUUCUAAUAACAUGUAUUUGACUCUUAGAUCAUGGUAUAGCUCAUGGUACUGCACAACGUCACCAAAAUAAUUUGGUGACAUAGUUUGACUUUCUCACAUUGCUAUUCCAUUCAAGAUUUGGUCCACUUCAUAGGGACAUGAAUAAUUAUUUUCAUGUUAUUGCAUUUACAUAAUAGUGCCAAAAGAAUUUGGUGAAGUAAACUGGGUGUUGCACCAGUUCUCUUUUUUAAACUUUCACUGCAGUUAAAGUUUAAAAGAAAUGUUUGUUGAUUGAUCAUGUCUCUCUACAAAUGAAUGUCAUGGACUUAGAUUUGUUAAUGAUUCAUAUCCACAUUUACUCUUUUGAUCCAUACAGUAUCAGGUACUUGACAACACCUUGGCUUUCAAGUCCACAUUUCCAUGUGACUUUUGUGAACUUCCUCAGGAGGUCCCUUGUUUAAUUACAAAAGCUGAAGUUUUGUUUCCUUGAAGACAUCUAAUUUGCAAUCUGAUUGUCAGAUUUCACUUUUGUUUCUUAAUUGUUUUCCAAUAAAUCUUAAUAUGGGGCCAUGAUAGAAAAUUAUUUACAGUUUUCCAUGGACACAAUGUUGACUAAUAGGUGGUUGAGGGAGUAGUCAUGUUCUUUGCUCCUGAGUAAUCACAGCAUUCUGGGUGUAUCCUCUUGUUGUCAAUGGCCAAAGUACUCUUAAGAAAACAUAGGUAAGCUUUCAUUCUUUUCCUUCAAGUAAAUCGUGUUGCUUGUUCUUGAUUGCACUGUCAUAUUGAAUUUUGCAUUUCAAUGGAUAAAUUUGAAUGUGAGAAACAUUUGUUUAGUGUGUCCUGAGAGGAGAGCAAGGAAAAGAAUAGAUGCCAACAUUUGUACCUUUUUUUUUUGUAAUGUAUACUUUGAAGAGAUCUAAUUAAUUGCGUUUUUGUGUGUGACAGAUUUUCAAAGACAUUGACAGGUAAUGAGAAACUUUGUGCGGUAUCUACUGAAAACUUUAUGCCAAGAAUCACUUAAAAGACUCGAUGAGUAAUUAUAAUUUGAAAGAAGAAUACUACAGUCUAGACAGUGGGGAAUUGACAUCUGCUCUUCAAUAAAGUUUGCUCAAGUUUGACAGGAAAAGGGAUGGUUGUUUCAGUAUUACAAAAAAUUAACAAGUAAUAUUGUGAAGGUUUUGCUUAUAAAAUUAUGAAGUCAUGGUAGUGAAUGAUUGGAUGCUUGUGAAAGCCAAUUAGAUGUAGAGUUUUCUAAGUUGCAAUAAGAUUGUUUAUGCUUUAUCAGAUACUUUGGUAAGUUUGAAGGUAAGGUCAGAAGCAGAUGACUCUGUCAAAUGGAGAUGAGAGACUACUGAAUUUAUGACUGUUCAAGAUCUGUGUGGUCUUGUCAAAGCAUUUAUAUAUCAACAGCUUAGGAGGAAAGUCUUUAAAAAUGUAGUAUAAAGUGGGAAUGGGGUUGCAAAAGGAUAGUCGUCUCUCAUGUGCCACUCAUGCAUCUUAUUUUUUUUGGCAUUUCUUACCAAAUAACGUGUUUCCAGAUUUUUAGGUAUUUGGUGAGAAUUUACUGGGUUCUGGCCUCAAGACAUCAAAAUCUGUCUCACUCUCUCCUCCCAAAAAUCAGUCGCAUCAUUUUCUUCUCUUCUUCUUCAGUUCUUCUUCUUCCUAAUUUCUUUUACCCCCUUGAAUCUGAUCUUCUUCUAACCAAUCUACCUAAUCAACAAACGAAAAAGUUUUUUCCUAGAGAUACUUGUACCUGCUCCGACUCUCUCUUGAAGAACAGAGGAAAAGCUGCUUAAGCUGAAUUAGGAAGAUGACUAAUCCAUCUCCAUCAUCCGAUCUGAAUAAUUUGUAAAUACAAUCACGGUAUUUUUUUUAUCCUUUUGCUGAUGUUUAAUAUAUAUAUAUAUAUAUAUAUAUAUAUAUGCACAUACAUAUAUUAUAUUUUUAUUGAUGAUUUAAUCUUUUCUUUUUUGGCUGUUUAACCACGGAAGAGAGAAGCUUUCAUCUUCUUCUAAUCUAAGAUGUGGAAUGAUCUGAUUUUUUUUUUUUUUUUUGCCUUUUAAACUGAUUUCGCCUUCCGUUUGUUCUUUUUUUUUUUGUGGUUUUUCUUAGAAUUUAUUGUUGAAAAAUAUGUAUUCAGCUAUUGGUUAUUUAUUUUUUUCUAAUUUAGGAUGGAGAAAUCAUGUAAAGGUAAACAUUUUGUACCAUAAUUUCUUAUUAUUUUCUUGUUGUAUGUUUUACCCGCAGUUUUUUCUUUCCCAGAUUUUUCCUUGACUUUAAGCACUCAAGCCAUUAUUGAUACAUGUCAGAAGGUUUCUUCACGCGUGAGUUUUAUAUCUUACUCUGAAACUAAAAAAAAAUGGUGAUAAAAAAGAUGUGAUAGCUUAACAUCCCAAACAAGGUUUUUAUUUAAGCAAAAAUAAUGAAAGGUGCAAAUGUGGAUUUGAGAUUUUUUUGUCCCUUAUAGUUUUGUUAUUAGUUUGAAAUUCCAGUGUUGUAAGUUCAAGUUUGAAGAUUUUGUCUUGGAUGACUAAUUUUACUUGAUGGGUUUUGUUUAUAUUUGAAGGAUUUCUGGUGAAAAGAUCAUAUUGGCCCUUGUGCAAUACAGCACAAUAUUACUUCAUUCCAUGAGUUUGUUCCCGACUUGUUUGUAGGAUUUAGAGUUUGCACCCUUUUUAGCAUGGUAAAUGUUUAAUGCAUUUUAAGGUGGUUUUACUCCCUAGCUGUAUUUUGCAUGGUUAAACAAAUAUAUUCCAAAAUAGGUUGGAAUUAUGAGGAGUCAACUCAAUAACUGCAUCGUUGAUCUUCUUUAAUUUGUUCCAAUUUGAAUUUGCUAAAGGAAUAGUGAAAGCUAAUAGGAUUGUUUAAAUGUACACCUUGUUUCUGGCAAAGGAAAGAUAAAUGAAGAAACUGUUUUAUGCUUUUUUCCUUAACCGUCUCUUCAGUUUAGUUUAACAGGUUUUCUUUGGUUGUAUGUAAUGUUACUUGCUUACUUUAUCUUGUAUUUAGUGUUUUAUUUCUUUUCUGUUGCUCUUGUUUUUGCCUCAGCACAGAGAACUGGCAAGGAAGGUAUGAUACUUGAAGCUGAUAAGAUGACUUUGAGUUUGAUUGUAAUAUAAAGUGGAAUAUGGUUGUCCUCUUGGGUGUCACUCAUGUGACUUCAUAGGUACUUGUGUUCCAAUUUGACAUUACAUUUUCUUUUGCUAGGCAGUGGUUGUUCUUAUGUAUACUUGAAGCUGAUAAAAUGACUUUUGAGUUUGAUUGUAGUAUAAGUGGAAUGAGCUGCUAGAGAAUGGUUGGGUUCUUGGGUGUCGCUCAUGUGACUUCAUAGGCACUUAUGUUCCAAUUUGACAUUACAUUUUCUUUUGCUAGAUAGUGGUUGUACUUAUGCAUAUCUUUAUCUUUAAAGUAUGUUUGAUAAAACUGAAAUCUAAAGUUUGAAUCUAUUACGUUAUUGAAAUUUUAAGUACUAAAUCUGAUAUAUUUGAGUGUAUAUCACAAUAAGUGAUAAAUGAAUAGCCUAUCACUUAUUUUUGGGAGCAAAUUUUGCCUAGAAAAUUCAGUGUCACUUAAAUAAUUCAAAUGUUUUAAUUUUGAUUAUCAAACGCAUCUGAACAUAUUAAGAUUUGAAUUCCAUUAAGUGUGAGUGCUGAAUUGAGUUAUCAAACAAGGCCUUAGAGUCUUUUAUCAUUUAAAUAAGUAUUUCCCAUUGAAAAAGAAAAUAGCAAGUAUGGUUUGGGUUCUUAUUGGUUUGCAUGUUUGAGUUUAUGACCAGGAUAUACAAAUGAGAUUGAGAGGAAGAUGGUACUUGCAGUGUAAUCUACUGCACAAAUUAGACUUGAAGUUGUAGCUGGAUAGAGAUCAAUUGAGAAAUUUUACAAUUCAAAUUAUACAGCAAGAGGUAUAUCUACACUUACUUUUGUUUUAUGCCUUAGUGGGCUUGAUUUUUUUUUUUAUAGGAUGGGAGAUUCUAUUUAAAAGACUCCAUAAUUUAUCAGAUUUUGUCUGUUCUUUCCCUUUUUUUUUUGUUUGGCCUUCUAACAAAAAAAAUGUAAAUUUGAAGGCACUUAAUCAGGUUGUACAUCUUCCCAUAAACUUAUGACUUUGAGUGUGCUGAUUUUCUUUUCUUUUAUCUUUUCCUGUUAUUUAUUUAACAUGUAAUUGAUGUUUAGACACAAAACGAGGGGAAAGGAAGAGAAAAACCUGAUAUAACUCACCAUACAUGUCCAUAUUCUAAGAUAACAGGGGCUUUAAUUGCCAAAUUUGCUACAGAAAAGGUCUUCGUUCUAAUUAAGCUUGCUGGAGCAUAGAGAAGUUUCUUACCGUUGUUUGCUUUUCUUGCCAAGAUGGUGGUCAAAUUUCAUUGUAUUAAUUUUCUUAAAGAGCAUCAGUAGCAUCAAAGACAACAGACAUCUGUUAUGUAGAGAACUGUUUUGCUCU